AGUUCGAUUCUGGCUCAGGAUGAACGCUGGCGGCGUGCUUAACACAUGCAAGUCGAACGGGAUCCAUCAGGCUUUGCUUGGUGGUAAGAGUGGCGAACGGGUGAGUAAUGCGUGACCGACCUGCCCCAUACACCGGAAUAGCUCCUGGAAACGGGUGGUAAUGCCGGAUGCUCCGACUCCUCGCAUGGGGUGUCGGGAAAGAUUAUAUCGGUAUGGGAUGGGGUCGCGUCCUAUCAGGUAGUCGGCGGGGUAACGGCCCACCGAGCCUACGACGGGUAGCCGGCCUGAGAGGGCGACCGGCCACAUUGGGACUGAGAUACGGCCCAGACUCCUACGGGAGGCAGCAGUGGGGAAUAUUGCACAAUGGGCGCAAGCCUGAUGCAGCGACGCCGCGUGCGGGAUGACGGCCUUCGGGUUGUAAACCGCUUUUGAUCGGGAGCAAGCCUUCGGGUGAGUGUACCUUUCGAAUAAGCACCGGCUAACUACGUGCCAGCAGCCGCGGUAAUACGUAGGGUGCAAGCGUUAUCCGGAAUUAUUGGGCGUAAAGGGCUCGUAGGCGGUUCGUCGCGUCCGGUGUGAAAGUCCAUCGCUUAACGGUGGAUCUGCGCCGGGUACGGGCGGGCUGGAGUGCGGUAGGGGAGACUGGAAUUCCCGGUGUAACGGUGGAAUGUGUAGAUAUCGGGAAGAACACCAAUGGCGAAGGCAGGUCUCUGGGCCGUUACUGACGCUGAGGAGCGAAAGCGUGGGGAGCGAACAGGAUUAGAUACCCUGGUAGUCCACGCCGUAAACGGUGGAUGCUGGAUGUGGGGCCCGUUCCACGGGUUCCGUGUCGGAGCUAACGCGUUAAGCAUCCCGCCUGGGGAGUACGGCCGCAAGGCUAAAACUCAAAGAAAUUGACGGGGGCCCGCACAAGCGGCGGAGCAUGCGGAUUAAUUCGAUGCAACGCGAAGAACCUUACCUGGGCUUGACAUGUUCCCGACAGCCGUAGAGAUAUGGCCUCCCUUCGGGGCGGGUUCACAGGUGGUGCAUGGUCGUCGUCAGCUCGUGUCGUGAGAUGUUGGGUUAAGUCCCGCAACGAGCGCAACCCUCGCCCUGUGUUGCCAGCACGUCAUGGUGGGAACUCACGGGGGACCGCCGGGGUCAACUCGGAGGAAGGUGGGGAUGACGUCAGAUCAUCAUGCCCCUUACGUCCAGGGCUUCACGCAUGCUACAAUGGCCGGUACAACGGGAUGCGACACGGCGACGUGGAGCGGACCCCUGAAAACCGGUCUCAGUUCGGAUUGGAGUCUGCAACCCGACUCCAUGAAGGCGGAGUCGCUAGUAAUCGCGGAUCAGCAACGCCGCGGUGAAUGCGUUCCCGGGCCUUGUACACACCGCCCGUCAAGUCAUGAAAGUGGGUAGCACCCGAAGCCGGUGGCCUAACCCUUUGUGGAUGGAGCCGUCUAAGGUGAGACUCGUGAUUGGGACUAAGUCGUAACAAGGUANCC
This 1487-nucleotide ribosomal RNA is filed under the name uncultured bacterium. Its description in RNAcentral is "bacterial SSU rRNA". It matches the Rfam family "Bacterial small subunit ribosomal RNA". The record is from RNAcentral.